GUGGGGAAUUUUGGACAAUGGGCGCAAGCCUGAUCCAGCCAUGCCGCGUGCAGGAUGAAGGCCUUCGGGUUGUAAACUGCUUUUGUACGGAACGAAAAAGCUCUCUUUAAUACAGGGGGUGAAUGACGGUACCGUAAGAAUAAGCACCGGCUAACUACGUGCCAGCAGCCGCGGUAAUACGUAGGGUGCAAGCGUUAAUCGGAAUUACUGGGCGUAAAGCGUGCGCAGGCGGUUUUGUAAGACAGGCGUGAAAUCCCCGGGCUCAACCUGGGAAUGGCGCUUGUGACUGCAAAGCGGGAGUGCGGCAGAGGGGGAUGGAAUUCCGCGUGUAGCAGUGAAAUGCGUAGAUAUGCGGAGGAACACCGAUGGCGAAGGCAAUCCCCUGGACCUGUACUGACGCUCAUGCACGAAAGCGUGGGGAGCAAACAGGAUUAGAUACCCCGGUAGUCC
RNAcentral lists this ribosomal RNA (450 nucleotides) under uncultured bacterium. RNAcentral describes it as "partial 16S ribosomal RNA". It matches the Rfam family "Bacterial small subunit ribosomal RNA", at positions 354 to 796 of the family's 1533-position model. The record is from RNAcentral.